GCCCUUGUAGUAUAAACCAAUACACCGGUCUUGUAAACCGGAAACGGAUACCCCUCCCCAGGGCA
This 65-nucleotide transfer RNA is filed under the name Rhinopithecus brelichi (Gray snub-nosed monkey). RNAcentral describes it as "tRNA-Thr". It matches the Rfam family "tRNA". From Rfam's summary of the family: Transfer RNA (tRNA) molecules are approximately 80 nucleotides in length. The record is from RNAcentral. Lineage: Eukaryota; Metazoa; Chordata; Mammalia; Primates; Cercopithecidae.